UACGGCAGGGUGCAAGCGUUGUUCGGAAUUACUGGGCGUAAAGGGCGCGUAGGCGGAAUAAUAGGUUAGGUGUGAAAUCUUCGGGCUUAACCCGGAAAGGGCACUUAAAACUGUUAUACUAGAGUUCGGGAGGGGAAAGCGGAAUUCCUAGUGUAGAGGUGAAAUUUGUAGAUAUUAGGAAGAACACCGGUGGCGAAGGCGGCUUUCUGGAACGAUACUGACGCUGAGGCGCGAAAGCGUGGGGAGCAAACAGGAUUAGAUACCCUGGUAGUCCACGCUGUAAACGAUGAACACUAAGUAUAGGAAGAUUAUUCUUUCUGUGCUCAAGCUAACGCGUUAAGUGUUCCGCCUGGGGAGUACGGUCGCAAGAUUAAAACUCAAAGAAAUUGACGGGGGCCCGCACAAGCGGUGGAGCAUGUGGUUUAAUUCGACGCAACGCGAAGAACCUUACCUGGGUUGGACAUCCUCUGACAAUUAUAGAAAUAUAACUUUUUCAGCAAUGAAACAGAGAGACAGGUGCUGCAUGGCUGUCGUCAGCUCGCGUCGUGAGAUGUUGGGUUAAGUCCCGCAACGAGCGCAACCCUUAUCUUUAGUUGCCAUCAUUCAGUUGGGCACUCUAGAGAAACUGCCGGUGAUAAAUCGGAUGAAGGUGGGGAUGACGUCAAGUCCUCAUGGCCUUUAUAUCCAGGGCUACACACGUGCUACAAUGGUUUGGACAAAGAGACGCAAGUCUGCGAAAACAAGCAAAUCUCAUAAACCAAAUCUCAGUUCGGAUUGAAGUCUGCAACUCGACUUCAUGAAGUCGGAAUCGCUAGUAAUCGCAGAUCAGCAUGCUGCGGUGAAUACGUUCCCGGGCCU
RNAcentral lists this ribosomal RNA (858 nucleotides) under uncultured bacterium. RNAcentral describes it as "bacterial SSU rRNA". It matches the Rfam family "Bacterial small subunit ribosomal RNA", at positions 524 to 1381 of the family's 1533-position model. The record is from RNAcentral.